AUUGAACGCUGGCGGCAUGCUUUACACAUGCAAGUCGAACGGUAACAGCACUUCGGUGGCUGACGAGUGGCGAACGGGUGAGUAAUACAUCGGAACGUGCCUAGUAGUGGGGGAUAACUACUCGAAAGAGUAGCUAAUACCGCAUGAGAUCUAAGGAUGAAAGCAGGGGACCUUCGGGCCUUGCGCUACUAGAGCGGCUGAUGGCAGAUUAGGUAGUUGGUGGGAUAAAAGCUUACCAAGCCGACGAUCUGUAGCUGGUCUGAGAGGACGACCAGCCACACUGGGACUGAGACACGGCCCAGACUCCUACGGGAGGCAGCAGUGGGGAAUUUUGGACAAUGGGCGCAAGCCUGAUCCAGCAAUGCCGCGUGCAGGAUGAAGGCCUUCGGGUUGUAAACUGCUUUUGUACGGAACGAAAAGCCCUCUUCUAAUACAGGAGAGUCAUGACGGUACCGGAAGAAUAAGCACCGGCUAACUACGUG
This 482-nucleotide ribosomal RNA is filed under the name uncultured bacterium. RNAcentral's name for it is "partial 16S ribosomal RNA". It matches the Rfam family "Bacterial small subunit ribosomal RNA", at positions 30 to 507 of the family's 1533-position model. The record is from RNAcentral.